CGAUGGGAGCUUGCUCCCUGGUGGCGAGCGGCGGACGGGUGAGUAAUGCAUAGGAAUCUGCCCGGUAGUGGGGGAUAACCUGGGGAAACCCAGGCUAAUACCGCAUACGUCCUACGGGAGAAAGCAGGGGCUCUUCGGACCUUGCGCUAUCGGAUGAGCCUAUGUCGGAUUAGCUGGUUGGUGAGGUAAUGGCUCACCAAGGCGACGAUCCGUAGCUGGUCUGAGAGGAUGAUCAGCCACACUGGGACUGAGACACGGCCCAGACUCCUACGGGAGGCAGCAGUGGGGAAUAUUGGACAAUGGGCGCAAGCCUGAUCCAGCCAUGCCGCGUGUGUGAAGAAGGCCCUCGGGUUGUAAAGCACUUUCAGCGAGGAAGAAGGCUUGGCGGCUAAUAUCCGUCAAGAAGGACAUCACUCGCAGAAGAAGCACCGGCUAACUCCGUGCCAGCAGCCGCGGUAAUACGGAGGGUGCGAGCGUUAAUCGGAAUUACUGGGCGUAAAGCGCGCGUAGGUGGUUUGGCACGCCGGUUGUGAAAGCCCCGGGCUCAACCUGGGAACGGCAUCCGGAACGGCCAGACUAGAGUGCAGGAGAGGAAGGUAGAAUUCCCGGUGUAGCGGUGAAAUGCGUAGAGAUCGGGAGGAAUACCAGUGGCGAAGGCGGCCUUCUGGCCUGACACUGACACUGAGGUGCGAAAGCGUGGGUAGCAAACAGGAUUAGAUACCCUGGUAGUCCACGCCGUAAACGAUGUCGACUAGCCGUUGGGACCUUUAAGGACUUAGUGGCGCAGUUAACGCGAUAAGUCGACCGCCUGGGGAGUACGGCCGCAAGGUUAAAACUCAGAUGAAUUGACGGGGGCCCGCACAAGCGGUGGAGCAUGUGGUUUAAUUCGAUGCAACGCGAAGAACCUUACCUACCCUUGACAUCCAGAGAACUUGGCAGAAAUGCCUUGGUGCCUUCCGGAACUCUGAAACAAGUGCUGCAUGGCUGUCUUCAGCUCCUGG
RNAcentral lists this ribosomal RNA (1001 nucleotides) under Salinicola sp. RNAcentral's name for it is "bacterial SSU rRNA". It matches the Rfam family "Bacterial small subunit ribosomal RNA", at positions 70 to 1065 of the family's 1533-position model. Lineage: Bacteria; Pseudomonadati; Pseudomonadota; Gammaproteobacteria; Oceanospirillales; Halomonadaceae. The record is from RNAcentral.